GGAGAACAAAAGCCUUGUGAGCAUACAAGCUUUGGUAUAUAACAACUUAAAGAUUUAGCUUAAUCAUCACAGGUCCCAGGGCAGAAUUCAUGGGUUGUGGCCGCGAGCAUGUUGUAAAGUUUAAGUGGUCUAGUAUGGAAGUUCUUCUUCAUCAAACUGAUGCCCAUGCCUCUGAAAGAUUUGGAUUUUAGGUACAUGGAAAAUGUUUGUAUAUGUCUGGACACUGAUAGCAUAGUAGUUAGAAUUUACAAACCAAGUCAGUUUGCUUU
Magnolia sinica is the source of this 269-nucleotide long non-coding RNA. RefSeq lists it as uncharacterized. The record is from RefSeq and is a predicted model, not a curated record. Lineage: Eukaryota; Viridiplantae; Streptophyta; Magnoliopsida; Magnoliales; Magnoliaceae. The transcript has 3 exons.